GUGGGAUGAAAUGGCAAGGCAGAUGGGGAAAAUGUCUGUGGGAACAGGGGAGUAACUGGAAGAUAAGUGAAAAAAACAGGAUCUGACUAUUAAAGACAUCUGGGAGGUUUGUAUGUCUAAAAAAUUUGGGGAUUUACAAUCACAACAUGCUAUAAAACUGGAGUUGCAAAUCAAACUUCUCUUACUUUAUAUGCCUUGCAGGGGGAGUGAGCCAUGUUUUGUGAGUCAAACACAGAACAAAAUAGAAACCCCCAAAACACCCCAAGCACACUGGGAAGUCACCCAGAGAGAAGAGAUUACGUUUAGAAGAGCUUUUGUUCCCAGUGAGCUAAAGAUAUUAAUACGCAUCUGGUAUACAAUGAUAUCAGCAUACUGAAUUGCAGGAAGAGCAGGUUAUUGGGGAGUCAGGAUCUGUUGUUGAGAUUUGUUUGUACUCAGUAUUUAGCAAAAAGAAAAGGAAUAUAAUUAGAAGACUGUGAACUGGGGUAAGAGUUGUUUCUUCUAAAGAAGAAACAAUGAGGAGAGGAUGUCUGCUGAAAUAGUCUCUUCAUGCAGGCAGCUCAGAGAUGUCCACGGAAGGAAAUCUGUUCAGUAGCCCAUAAUCGCUCUGAGUUCCAUGUAGAUGUUGAUCUUUUGUUCAGCUGAUUUCCUUUUGGUAGCUGUUUUCUGCUUUGCAAUCAAGAGAUAGAAUAAACGGGACUCCUGCUUUUCCUUAUUCUUAUCGAACGACAGAGGAAUCUUAAGGCCAGGUGUUGGUGUAUGCUAGUUGCUCUCCAGGGAACAAAAGCAGCAAGCAGGUGGAGACAGAAUGGUUCGCUUCCAAAUGUUUCAGAGUUCUUGGGCUUGGGAUGUGUUACCUCCUAGCUCAGUUCGACGCAAGGUGGUGGCUUGCAAAAGGAAGCCUCCCAUGGCAGCCUUCAGCCAGCAUAGCUUUACCAGGCUCCCGUUGAAAUGAAGUGAGCGUUUAACUCAGAUGAUAACUGUGUGUCUUGUGGGUUCCUUCACAUCUCCAGUCCGGUUACUGGGAAGUUUUCUCCUCCAACCACCCUUUGACUGUCUAUAAAUAAGUGUAACAAAAAGGGUACUGAGUACUAAUUCACAGUGAAUCACAGCUGAACAGUAUGAUCAGGUGAAUCCCAUAAAGAGAACUGACAGUGUAUUCAGAUCGGGUGUUUGCCAUUCAAGGAUCUGCACCUCUUAUGAUCUAUUUGGGCCCAUCUUUCUCUAGCCUUUAGAAAAGACUUCUAGAGUCUUGCUGGUUGUCUUAUUAACAUGUAGAGAUGGCUAACUGGUGAAUCACAGCUUCCUUUAAGUAGCCCCUGACAUCUGUAGCAUUUUGUCAAAGUGUAGAGGGAAAUGAGAUGAAAGGCUUAAAAUGCUGUGUGGCUUUUCCAAUUUUAAGUAAUGUCAGACAUUCUUUGAAGUAAUUUGGCCUCUUGUGAAAAAUGUUCCCUGUGUUCAAGGGCAUCAAAACCAGGCAGCCCUCCUAAAAAUAGUACAUACUUAUUUGUUGAGUUAAAAGUUUCACAGGUAUCCUUUUUAUGCAUCCUACUUUGUUUAUCUGUGAAGGUGCUCAUUUGUUUGUUUUCCUUGCAAGAUUCCUGAGAACGUUCUUAUACUUCCAAACCACAUUUCUCGAAUCUGAGUAUGGGAAGGGGGUAGUACAUAGAUUACUUGCUGAAUAUACUAAAACUCAAUCAUAUUUAACUACUUUAUGAAGUCUGUUUAAGUUUUGUAACAUUUAACUACUUUAAUUCUAGGCUAGAUCCUCUUUUCUGCUAACUUGUUUUCCUAGUGAAAAAAGAGAAAAUAAUAGGUGCAUUAAUUGUUAGUUAAGGUAGCAGGCCAUGGUGAACCUCUUAACAUUCUCCUAUUUUAUGAGCAUAAAACUUCUAUUUUAAUAAUGCCUUGCAAUAAAGGAUCUUUUCAUGGCAGCUAAAUGAUGUACAAUGGUAAUAUUUCUACAAGAAAAUUAGAUUUUGAUAUUGCCUUGGUUUUCAGUGAAACAAAAGAAUUUGUGAAGAACUUGAAAGAGAAUACCACUCAUCAUCAUGGACAGCUGAUGAAGAAGACGGAACCAGGGAAGAGUGGUUGAGAUUCUUUUUUUCUAGUUAAAGGAAGCAGGAGAUGUUCUUGCUCUAGCAAACAGCACUGACAUGAUCAAGAAUCUCUGAAAAUCCCUGGAGAGAUCUCUCCAAGUGAGCAUUGAAUUAACUUCCUUUCCUACUGUUCCACUCUGUACAAAAGAAGUCCUUCCUUCAAAAGUCCUUGGAAUACAAUGCUGUGUUUUGUAAGCAGAGUCCAGAAAAGCACAAACACCUCUAACAAAAGAAUAGUAAAUAAUGGCUAUUUCUACUCUCAUUACCCUGGGCUGCACUUCCUCUGCUAUCAGGUACCAUGCUGAAGUACAGCGCAGGUCACUGUGGCUUAGGCAAAGCUGUGUUGGUCACACGCUUAUGCUUACAUCUGUUUUAUCCAUGCAGUAGUGUUUGAAGAUAAAAUAAAACUGUGAAAGCAUACAGUGUUGUCACAUGUAUGCAUUUUUAAAAUCAAGUUGAGUUUCCCUUAGCGUUAUGUUAUUAGUCAGUGCAGCACUCUACCAGUUCUUGCAGACUGGUGUUUCUAGACAGUUGUUUCAGAAAGAGCAGUACUGGUUGCUACUGCACAGAGACCAUGAACAAGAGAUGUGUGUAAUGUUUAAGUGCUAAAGUUGUAUUUUAUUAAUGAUUUUUCAAGAACAGGCUCACAUACAUCAAAGCAAAGCCUGGGCUUGAUUAUGAUGCUGUUACAAGUCUUACUUUUAAUGAUAUCAUAGUAGCUUUAACAAUAAUAUAAUUAUUAAUAGAAGUAAUUAAUAUGGUGGUAAUGUCUAGGCAUUGCAAGGACCUAGACGUUUCUCCAUGAAAUAAGAAAGCAAGAAGGUAAUCUUGACCCAGAGAACAACUGUUUAGGCAGAAUACCAUGUGUGGGUGGAUGAACAAAAGGUGUGGGAAAAGGUAAGAACAGAAUGAGCCCUUUUUGCAUUGUAUGUUGCUGUUUGCUAGUCUCACUAUUAUGAUUUUGUACUGUCUGUAGGCACUGUGACAGCAGGGAGGCAGGCAUUCUCUUGCUACUUUAUGAUUCAGUAAGAAAAGGAUGAGGUUCCAGAAGUGAAGGAUGUAGAAGAGAUGACUUCAGUUGGUGCACAAGACAUUUAUUUCAAGUAGCCGUUUCAGGGCUAAGACUUUGCCCACCAUCUUCACCCCCUGCAGUACUCUGGUUUCUGAAACUUCAAGCCUGCUGAGCAAGCCUGUUAGGUUUCACAGAAGGAAAAUUCAGAUGUGUAGACUCAGGGGAGCUGGGGAGUCCUCUGCAAAGUGGACUUGAAAAUACUUCUGCAAUUUGCUGAAACAAGUAAACUGAAGUGCAGAAGAGAGGCUGAGACGUGGCAAGGAAUCGGUUAAUCCUGAAAUGUAAAAUAUGUGAAAAAUCUGCACUAUUUUGAUUUUUAGCAUAUAUGGUAUUGCUGGGUUAGGUUUCCUAGGGUUUCAUAUGUACAAAAAAAUCACUCAUCACAAUACUGUGAAAUAAAUGCAUUUACAUGCCA
Gallus gallus (chicken) is the source of this 3586-nucleotide long non-coding RNA. RefSeq lists it as uncharacterized. The record is from RefSeq and is a predicted model, not a curated record. The transcript has 2 exons. NCBI's taxonomy places the organism in Eukaryota, Metazoa, Chordata, Aves, Galliformes, Phasianidae.